UAUCCGGAAUUAUUGGGCGUAAAGGGCUCGUAGGCGGUUCGUCGCGUCCGGUGUGAAAGUCCAUCGCUUAACGGUGGAUCCGCGCCGGGUACGGGCGGGCUUGAGUGCGGUAGGGGAGACUGGAAUUCCCGGUGUAACGGUGGAAUGUGUAGAUAUCGGGAAGAACACCAAUGGCGAAGGCAGGUCUCUGGGCCGUUACUGACGCUGAGGAGCGAAAGCGUGGGGAGCGAACAGGAUUAGAUACCCUGGUAGUCCACGCCGUAAACGGUGGAUGCUGGAUGUGGGGCCCGUUCCACGGGUUCCGUGUCGGAGCUAACGCGUUAAGCAUCCCGCCUGGGGAGUACGGCCGCAAGGCUAAAACUCAGAGAAAUUGACGGGGGCCCGCACAAGCGGCGGAGCAUGCGGAUUAAUUCGAUGCAACGCGAAGAACCUUACCUGGGCUUGACAUGUUCCCGACGGUCGUAGAGAUACGGCUUCCCUUCGGGGCGGGUUCACAGGUGGUGCAUGGUCGUCGUCAGCUCGUGUCGUGAGAUGUUGGGUUAAGUCCCGCAACGACGCAACCCUCGCCCCCGUGUUGCCAGCGGAUUAUGCCCGGGAAC
Molecule: ribosomal RNA, 599 nt
Filed under: uncultured bacterium
Lineage: Bacteria
Description: bacterial SSU rRNA
Rfam family: Bacterial small subunit ribosomal RNA
Source: RNAcentral